ACUCUCGUUCAAGUGUUUACAAAUGGCGGUGUUCAUUUUGUAUCAGGCUACCCAGCAUCAAGGACAACAUCUAGAUUGCUAUAUUCCGUUAAAACACUGCUCAAGGGUACCGUAAGAUCCUGAGUCUUUAUGGGACUGUCUUCGAGAAGCAUCGAAACUAAGUAGCUGGAAAAGAAAACAUUAUUGUUACAUACGUUAAGAAAGACAAUAACGUAAGUAUUAAUUUUUUUUUUUUAACUACCAAA
Melitaea cinxia (Glanville fritillary) is the source of this 245-nucleotide long non-coding RNA. RefSeq lists it as uncharacterized. NCBI's taxonomy places the organism in Eukaryota, Metazoa, Arthropoda, Insecta, Lepidoptera, Nymphalidae. The transcript has 2 exons. The record is from RefSeq and is a predicted model, not a curated record.